UGCAAGUCGUGCGAGAAACCAAUUAGCUUGCUAUGAGGUGGACAGCGGCGUAAGGGAGAGUAACGCGUGGUUACGUGCCCUCGAGACCGGGAUAGUGUCGGGAAACUGGCAGUAAUACCGGAUAAUAUCUUUGGAUCAAAUGGUGAGAUUCCGCUCGAGGAUCGGACCGCGUACUAUUAGCUUGUUGGCGGGGUAAUGGCCCACCAAGGCUGCGAUGGUUACCGGGUGUGAGAGCAUGGCCCGGCUCACUGGGACUGAGACACUGCCCAGACACCUACGGGUGGCUGCAGUCGAGAAUCUUCGGCAAUGGACGAAAGUCUGACCGAGCGACGCCGCGUGCGGGAUGAAGGCCCUCGGGUUGUAAACCGCUGUCAGUUAGGAGGAAAUGCAUGAGGGUUCUCUCUCAUGUUUGACCGAUUUUCAGAGGAAGGACGGGCUAAGUUCGUGCCAGCAGCCGCGGUAAGACGAACCGUCCAAACGUUAUUCGGUAUCACUGGGCUUAAGGCGUGCGUAGGCGGCUUGGUAGGUGAGAUGUGAAAGCCCACGGCUCAACCGUGGAAUUGCGUUUCAAACCCCCAAGCUCGAGGAAGAUAGGGGUGAUGGGAACUUAUGGUGGAGCGGUGAAAUGCGUUGAUAUCAUAGGGAACACCGGUGGCGAAAGCGCAUCACUGGAUCUUUUCUGACGCUGAGGCACGAAAGCUAGGGUAGCGAACGGGAUUAGAUACCCCGGUAGUCCUAGCUGUAAA
RNAcentral lists this ribosomal RNA (746 nucleotides) under uncultured bacterium. Its description in RNAcentral is "bacterial SSU rRNA". It matches the Rfam family "Bacterial small subunit ribosomal RNA", at positions 56 to 806 of the family's 1533-position model. The record is from RNAcentral.